CUGCUCUCUACAGCAGCACCUAUACUAAAAUUGGAACAAUACAAAGAUUAGUAUGGCUCUUUUGCAAGAAUUACCCACUUUCCAUGUUUUU
Molecule: small nuclear RNA, 91 nt
Filed under: Nannospalax galili (Upper Galilee mountains blind mole rat)
Lineage: Eukaryota; Metazoa; Chordata; Mammalia; Rodentia; Spalacidae
Source: RNAcentral